Molecule: long non-coding RNA, 272 nt
Filed under: Elaeis guineensis (African oil palm)
Lineage: Eukaryota; Viridiplantae; Streptophyta; Magnoliopsida; Arecales; Arecaceae
Description: long non-coding RNA (EGUI_LNC055580)
Source: RNAcentral
AUUGUCCGACAGUGGAGUUCGGAUGGCAUUGUGGAGGUUCGUCCACUGGAAGAGUCUUGAGGAUAUUGUGGAGGGUCGAACGUUGGAGGAGUCUGAAAUUCAAUUCUGUUGUAGAAGUUCGAACGGAGUCUGGCUCUUGUUGGAGGCUGGAUGAAGUCCGAUUAUUGUAGAAGCUCGGACGAAGAUCAGUUGUCAUGAAAGCUUGGAUGGAGACUUCUUAUUGUAGAAGCUCGGAUGAAGUCCGCUUGCAAUAGAAGUCCGAAGUACAGAUC